This is a long non-coding RNA of Perca flavescens (yellow perch), 808 nucleotides long. RefSeq lists it as uncharacterized. The transcript has 3 exons. The record is from RefSeq and is a predicted model, not a curated record. Lineage: Eukaryota; Metazoa; Chordata; Actinopteri; Perciformes; Percidae.
CCACUUUGUUCUGAAGGCUGGAUUGAACGUUAUCCCCUCGUUAGUAGCUCCUUGAAUGCUGUAUCCAUAGCUCUGCAUUUUCGGUCUUUCUCAUAUCUGAUCUUGGUGUGAUGUGGAACAGAACCUAACUCUUUGGGGAGCUCAUAUUGUUUUUGGACAUUGAAGGAGAUGACAUCCAGAGAGACCUGCAGAAAUCCACCAUGGGCAUAUAUGUCAUCAACAAGGAGGGUGGAGAAAUUGGAGCUCAUGAUGACAUUGGCAUUUAUGUUGAAGGAGUAAUCAUUCUGGACAACAUUGGAUCUGUAGCCCAAGCAUGUGCAAUGAUGCUGGGAGUCAUGUAUGUACUGAACAUGGCUUACCCCAAAGAGCUGAAAUACUCCUAUGAAUUCAUUCAGAAAGUGCUCUUGCAAAUGGAUGGUGAAAGGCUUUCCCCCAAAGUCCUUGGACUAAAGAACAAAAUCAUUGCUGGACUGUAGGAUUUCUUCAGCCGCUCUUGUGAACACUGCUAAGGCGUUACGGUGUUUCAAACUGAAAAACAGAGUGAAUGGUGGACUGUAAUAUUCACACAGCCACUGGUGUGAACAUUUAAAACUGUACAAUGGAUUUUGUGGAAUAUUCACCUGAAAUAAAAAUUGCAAUCCUGGAAAUAAGAGCACAAAAUUCAUCCAUCCACUACCGCCAUAUGAAUAUUAGAAGUUAAGCGCCUUGAGAGGAACAGUUGGUGGUGGCUGUGCCAUUAAACCAUUGCAUAAGAAGAGGACACAACAAGAUGUUAAAAGAGCUCUGGUCAAAGUUCAAACGAUGGAGA